GAUGAACGCUAGCGAUAGGCUUAACACAUGCAAGUCGAGGGGCAGCAUGGUCUUAGCUUGCUAAGACUGAUGGCGACCGGCGCACGGGUGCGUAACGCGUAUGCAACUUGCCUCACAGAGGGGGAUAACCCGUCGAAAGACGGACUAAUACCGCGUACACUCCAUCUUGGGCAUCCAAGGUAGAGGAAAUGAAAUUCGCUGUGAGAUAGGCAUGCGUCCCAUUAGCUAGUUGGUGAGGUAGCGGCUCACCAAGGCGACGAUGGGUAGGGGAACUGAGAGGUUGAACCCCCACACUGGUACUGAGACACGGACCAGACUCCUACGGGAGGCAGCAGUGAGGAAUAUUGGUCAAUGGGCGAGAGCCUGAACCAGCCAAGUCGCGUGAAGGAUGACUGUCUUAUGGAUUGUAAACUUCUUUUAUACGGGAAUAACAAGAGUCACGUGUGACUCCCUGCAUGUACCGUAUGAAUAAGCAUCGGCUAACUCCGUG
This 490-nucleotide ribosomal RNA is filed under the name uncultured bacterium. RNAcentral describes it as "partial 16S ribosomal RNA". It matches the Rfam family "Bacterial small subunit ribosomal RNA", at positions 28 to 507 of the family's 1533-position model. The record is from RNAcentral.